RNAcentral lists this ribosomal RNA (460 nucleotides) under uncultured bacterium. RNAcentral describes it as "partial 16S ribosomal RNA". It matches the Rfam family "Bacterial small subunit ribosomal RNA", at positions 338 to 795 of the family's 1533-position model. The record is from RNAcentral.
CCUACGGGAGGCAGCAGUGAGGAAUAUUGGUCAAUGGACGAGAGUCUGAACCAGCCAAGUCGCGUGAAGGAUGACUGCCCUAUGGGUUGUAAACUUCUUUUAUAUGGGAAUAAAACGUUCCACGUGUGGGAUAUUGUAUGUACCAUAUGAAUAAGGAUCGGCUAACUCCGUGCCAGCAGCCGCGGUAAUACGGAGGAUCCGAGCGUUAUCCGGAUUUAUUGGGUUUAAAGGGAGCGUAGGUGGAUUGUUAAGUCAGUUGUGAAAGUUUGCGGCUCAACCGUGAAAUUGCAGUUGAAACUGGCAGUCUUGAGUACAGUAGAGGUAGGCGGAAUUCGUGGUGUAGCGGUGAAAUGCUUAGAUAUCACGAAGAACUCCGAUUGCGAAGGCAGUUCACUGGACUGCAACUGACACUGAGGCUCGAAAGUGUGGGGAUCAAACAGGAUUAGAUACCCUAGUAGUC